GACGAACGCUGGCGGCGUGCUUAACACAUGCAAGUCGAGCGGAAAGGCGCUGCUUUUGUGCCGUGCUCGAGUGGCGAGGGGGUGAGUGACACGUGAGUAUCCUCCCCUUGUAUUUGUGAUAAAUUCACGAGACUGGGGCUAAUACCGGAUAGGAGAUCCUGCUGCAUGUUGGGGGAUGGAAAGAGUCGGCGGUUUGGGAUGGACUAGCGGCUUAUCAGCUUGUUGGGGUGGUAGGGGCUUACCAAGGCUAUGACGGGUAGGCGGCAUGAGAGGGUGACCGGGGACAAUGGGACUGCGAGACGGCGCAGACGCCUACGGGCGGCAGCAGUGGGGAAUAUGGCGGAAUGGGCGGAAGCCUGAGGCAGCAACGCCGCGUGCGGGAUGCCGGCCUUCUGGGUGUAAACCGCUUUCGCCGGUGACGAAGAGUGAGUGACGGUAACGGGUAAAGAAGCACCGGCUAACUACGUG
This 468-nucleotide ribosomal RNA is filed under the name uncultured bacterium. RNAcentral describes it as "partial 16S ribosomal RNA". It matches the Rfam family "Bacterial small subunit ribosomal RNA", at positions 28 to 507 of the family's 1533-position model. The record is from RNAcentral.